CCCUCUUUCAUUGCCCACGCUCUUAAAACUAUCAUGUGAAUAAUGUCAAACUAGCCUACAGGUGUGGAUAAGAGACCAGAUGGAAGAGAAUUAAGAUGCCUUGACUCAUAGUCUUGCCAGUCGCUGGACACAGUGAGGUCACCCUAUAUCAUUCAAACACCAGCCAUUUACCAGCUGACCAUGAAUACGUGAGACAGCACAGCCCAGCACCCAGGAUGGGUCAGGUCAGAAGCACAGAACCAAUCAACAGAAUACUGAAGUAAAUGAAAGGGAACCUGAGAACUCAAAUUCUGGUUUCUACGUCUGAGAGACAGGACCAAUGGAAAUUUCCCCAAUUAUGGAAAUGCUGUUCAAGAGGUGAUCAUUAAUAUGACAAAUGCCAGUUACAGUAACCAGCUACUACUGUUAGACUCACUCUUCCUGUUGUGCUUACCCAUUAUGACUUUUUUAAGCCACCUUUGCUUUUGCUUCAUUUCCAGGGCAGCCUCUCACAGCUGGAAGUUUGUCUCCUUUCCUGUUCUCUUGAGUAAAUCUAAUGCAUGAUAUUAGUAUAAGCAAGGAAUAUAGGGAAUACCAGCAAACAGCUAUUAAUAAGUGUGAAAUAGAGUUUUAUUCUCUGAAUUUAGACUCUAAUUUAGACUCAGUCAUAAGACUGAGCAUUGAUGCUCUUUGGUUUUGAAAAUUAUCCCACCUUUAGAAAGGAUUCCUUCUUUGGCCUCAGGCCAGAAUUAAUGGUGUGAAGAGAGCACAGCAUUAAGAAAGAGCCCAGCUCCACAAUGCUGGUGUUGGUCUCUACUUUUGCCAGCAGUGGGCCUACCACACCUGUUAUUAAAAGAAGUGCUAAGGCAGCAGAGCAAGCAGCAACAGAGACAACAUCAGCAGGAAAACCCCAACUGCCAGGAAGAGCAUAUAAUUAUCUCUGCCCUCUAGAGCACAAUUUCUUAACCAAGGAUUGUUGAAAAAUACACACGCUGAGUCCCACUCUGUCCAAGGUACUGAUUUGGUAGGUCUGAGCUAGUGUUUAGGCACCUAUAAUUUAUAACCAUACAAACAAAUAAAUGUUUCACAUGAAUCUGA
Long non-coding RNA from Felis catus (domestic cat), 1077 nucleotides. RefSeq lists it as uncharacterized. Lineage: Eukaryota; Metazoa; Chordata; Mammalia; Carnivora; Felidae. The transcript is spliced from 2 exons. The record is from RefSeq and is a predicted model, not a curated record.